GACGAACGCUGGCGGCGCGCUUAACACAUGCAAGUCGAGCGGUAAGGCCCUUUCGGGGGUACACGAGCGGCGAACGGGUGAGUAACACGUGGGUGACCUGCCCUCAGCUCUGGGAUAAGCCUGGGAAACUGGGUCUAAUACCGGAUAUGACUCCAUGACGCAUGUUGUGGGGUGGAAAGCCUUGUGCGGCUGAGGAUGGGCCCGCGGCCUAUCAGCUUGUUGGUGGGGUGANGGCCUACCAAGGCGACGACGGGUAGCCGGCCUGAGAGGGCGACCGGCCACACUGGGACUGAGACACGGCCCAGACUCCUACGGGAGGCAGCAGUGGGGAAUCUUGCGCAAUGGGCGAAAGCCUGACGCAGCGACGCCGCGUGAGGGAUGAC
RNAcentral lists this ribosomal RNA (383 nucleotides) under uncultured bacterium. RNAcentral's name for it is "bacterial SSU rRNA". It matches the Rfam family "Bacterial small subunit ribosomal RNA", at positions 28 to 412 of the family's 1533-position model. The record is from RNAcentral.